RNAcentral lists this transfer RNA (64 nucleotides) under Macoma balthica. RNAcentral describes it as "Limecola balthica tRNA-Asp". It matches the Rfam family "tRNA". From Rfam's summary of the family: Transfer RNA (tRNA) molecules are approximately 80 nucleotides in length. Their secondary structure includes four short double-helical elements and three loops (D, anti-codon, and T loops). Lineage: Eukaryota; Metazoa; Mollusca; Bivalvia; Cardiida; Tellinidae. The record is from RNAcentral.
GAGGAGGUAGUUUAAUAAAAAUGAAAGAUUGUCAAUCUUUUGAUGUCAGAAUAGAUCCUUCUUU